AAAGUUUGAAAAAAUACUUUAAACAAGUAUUUAAAGUAUUUUUUCCAGGGCGAGGCUAUCCACUGCACUCCGGAUGUGUUGAUCCCUGCGAUUUCCCCAAAUGUGGGAAACUCCACUGCAUAAUUUGUGGUAGUGGGGGACUG
Molecule: small nuclear RNA, 143 nt
Filed under: Castor canadensis (American beaver)
Lineage: Eukaryota; Metazoa; Chordata; Mammalia; Rodentia; Castoridae
Description: U1 spliceosomal RNA (ENSCCNG00000005525.1)
Rfam family: U1 spliceosomal RNA
About the family: U1 is a small nuclear RNA (snRNA) component of the spliceosome (involved in pre-mRNA splicing). Its 5' end forms complementary base pairs with the 5' splice junction, thus defining the 5' donor site of an intron. There are significant differences in sequence and secondary structure between metazoan and yeast U1 snRNAs, the latter being much longer (568 nucleotides as compared to 164 nucleotides in human).
Source: RNAcentral